RNAcentral lists this ribosomal RNA (494 nucleotides) under uncultured bacterium. RNAcentral describes it as "partial 16S ribosomal RNA". It matches the Rfam family "Bacterial small subunit ribosomal RNA", at positions 28 to 507 of the family's 1533-position model. The record is from RNAcentral.
GACGAACGCUGGCGGCGCGCUUAACACAUGCAAGUCGAACGGAAAGGCCUGCUUUCCCUUGUGGAUUGCGGGUACUCGAGUGGCGAACGGGUGAGUAACACGUGAGUGAUCUGCCCCCAACUUGGGUAUAAGCCUGGGAAACUGGGUCUAAUUCCCGAUAGGACUGCAGGGUGGUGCCUGUGGUGGAAAACGAUUUUCUAGUGGUUGGGGAUGAGCCCGCGGCCUAUCAGCUUGUUGGUGGGGUAAUGGCCUACCAAGGCGGCGACGGGUAGCCGGCCUGGGAGGGUGGACGGCGACAGUGGGACUGGGAUACGGCCCAGACGCCUGCGGGAGGCAGGGGUGGGGAAGAUUGCAGAAUGGGCGGAAGCCUGAUGCAGCGACGCCGCGUGGGGGAUGACGGCCUUCGGGUUGUAAACUCCUUGCGACCGCGAGGAAGCCACCUGGUUGGAAGGGUGGUGACGGUAGUGGUAGAAGAAGCACCGGCUAACUACGUG